CAGCAGCCGCGGUAAUACGUAGGGGGCUAGCGUUGUCCGGAAUCACUGGGCGUAAAGGGUUCGCAGGCGGAAAUGCAAGUCAGGUGUAAAAGGCAGUAGCUUAACUACUGUAAGCAUUUGAAACUGCAUAUCUUGAGAAGAGUAGAGGUAAGUGGAAUUUUUAGUGUAGCGAUGAAAUGCGUAGAUAUUAAAAAGAAUACCGGUGGCGAAGGCGACUUACUGGGCUCAUUCUGACGCUGAGGAACGAAAGCUUGGGUAGCAAACAGGAUUAGAUACCCUGGUAGUCCACGCUGUAAACGAUGAGUGCUAGGUAUCGGAAUAAUUCGGUGCCGCAGUUAACACAUUAAGCACUCCGCCUGGGGAGUACGUGCGCAAGCAUGAAACUCAAAGGAAUUGACGGGGACCCGCACAAGCAGCGGAGCAUGUGGUUUAAUUCGAAGCAACGCGAAGAACCUUACCAGGGCUUGACAUACUGAGGACCGGUAUAGAGAUAUACCCUCUUCUUCGGAAGCCUCAAUACAGGUGGUGCAUGGUUGUCGUCAGCUCGUGUCGUGAGAUGUUCAGUUAAGUCUGGCAACGAGCGCAACCCCUAUCUUUAGUUACCAGCAUUUCGGAUGGGGACUCUAAAGAGACUGCCGAUGAUAAAUCGGAGGAAGGUGGGGAUGACGUCAAAUCAUCAUGCCCUAUAUGCCCUGGGCUACACACGUGCUACAAUGGAAGAUACAAAGGGAAGCGAAAUAGUGAUAUUAAGCAAACCUCAAAAAGUCUUUCCCAGUUCGGAUUGUACUCUGCAACUCGAGUACAUGAAGAUGGAGUUGCUAGUAAUCGCAGAUCAGAAUGCUGCGGUGAAUGCGUUCCCGGGUCUUGUACACACCGCCCGUCACACCAUGGAAGCUUGUAAUACCCGAAGCCUGCGAGCAAACCGUAAGGAAGCAGCAGUCGAAGGUAGGAUAGGUGACUGGGGUGAAGUCGUAACAAGGUAGCCGUA
RNAcentral lists this ribosomal RNA (988 nucleotides) under uncultured Peptoniphilus sp. RNAcentral describes it as "bacterial SSU rRNA". It matches the Rfam family "Bacterial small subunit ribosomal RNA", at positions 509 to 1504 of the family's 1533-position model. The record is from RNAcentral. Lineage: Bacteria; Bacillati; Bacillota; Tissierellia; Tissierellales; Peptoniphilaceae.